AGGUGUGAUCAUACCAGCAUUGAUGCACCAAAUCCUAACAGAACUCUGCAGUUAAGCGUGGUUGGGCGAGAGUAGUACUUGAAAGUGCGCAUGUCAAGAUAGCACUUU
This 108-nucleotide ribosomal RNA is filed under the name Lupinus angustifolius (narrow-leaved blue lupine). The record is from RNAcentral. Lineage: Eukaryota; Viridiplantae; Streptophyta; Magnoliopsida; Fabales; Fabaceae.